This is a long non-coding RNA of Mus musculus (house mouse), 2232 nucleotides long. RefSeq annotates it as predicted gene, 30874. The record is from RefSeq and is a predicted model, not a curated record. Lineage: Eukaryota; Metazoa; Chordata; Mammalia; Rodentia; Muridae. The transcript is spliced from 4 exons.
GCUUUAAGAGGCGAAAGGUCAAUGCUAGGCCUUAUGUGGAUGCGAGUGGAGGUUUAAACAGUAAACGUGGAUUUAUGUCACUUGAGAUUGCUCACCAGGGGAACAGCAAUGCCAUGCUCUCUAGCUAGCCUGAUGAGUUUGCUUUCCACCUUUUCUGGGGCUCCAGAAUGGUGGAGCCCCAAUUUGCUGUUUAGUGGGUACAUCCCAAGCACCUGCCCCUGAGCAGAAGGGUAACCUCCUGUGUUGCUCCUCACUUCCUGCCUUUGGGAUUCCUCAGUGCCCAAGAGCUGCCGAGGAGACUCGAAUCUACACGUUCUCCAGAUGACCUUGGACCACAGGCUGGAGGGUCCCAUGAAGGAACGGCAUUCUGGAAAGUUCUGUGUGUAGCCCAGUGUGUGCUGCUAGCUACACACAGCUGUUGAGGACUUGAAAUGUGACUCCCGAGACCAAGUUAAACACUGCAUUUUAUUUAGCUGUAAUUAAUUUGAAUCUAAACGUGGUGGCCAUAUGUAGUUAGGGGUUAGUACUGGAAUAUGCAGUUUUAGUAGGAGGCUUGAAGUGGACCUCUCUUUAUAGAACUGUAAGGAGCCUCCAGAGCAUCUGGUCUGGUUUCUCCUUUUAAUGAAGACCCAGGCUACCAUCACUUUGCAUGCUCAGAAAAUCGACUGCCCUGAAGGGCCAUGGAAAUGCUACCUUUGAGUGGCGAACAGGCCAUCUCUGUAGUGGCAAGUCCACCCUUGACCACCACGCUCUUUGAUUCUUAUAAUGAACCAGCUUUCUGUUAUCUCCACUGAUGUACAUUUAAUUAUGAACAAAUGUUACAGGACGAAGGUACGACGUUCCCAACAAGUGCUUGUACUGAGGCUUGCCGACCAGCAGGUGGCGCUGUUGAGAGGCGAUUGCCUCAGGAGGAUGUUGAUUUCAUCAGAGCUGGAUGUAUUCGCUCCUAGUAAUAAUUAGGAGGUGGGACCUGCCUGGAGGAAGAAGUUUGCUGGGUGGUGUCUUUGAAGGGUGUACCUUGUCCUUGGUACCUUUUGUGCUAUCUUUCUCUUUAUUGGCCACGAUGAGUUGAGCCGGCUCUGCUUCACCCCACGUGGCCCACCAUGAGGCUCUGAUUGACCAUAGUCCAGGAACGAUGGAGACAGGGCAUGAGAAGCUGUUUCCUGCUUCUUCCUCAUGGGUGGCACCAUGCCUUCUUCAUCGCGUGGACUGUGUCCCUUUAAACCGGGAGCUCAAAUAAGCCUCUCUUCCUUGAAGUUGUUUCUGCGAGGGAUGUCAUCAAUUGAGGACAAGACUGUGCUUGUUGCCUCUCUGCCCCCGGAACCUGGCAUGGGCCCUGGCAAAGGAGCGACAUUCAGCAAAGGUCGACACUAGGCAUGGUGCAGUGCAAUCAAAAGAUCCUGAAUAGAAGACUUAUCUAGAAAUCUGCUUCUUACUACUGGCGUGUACCUUCAACAAAGGCCGUGGUUGCUGCAAUGAUAUUUGCUUUCAGAACAGACGUUCCCCACGGACUCUCUGAAGAACCAGUGCGCAAAUGCUGUCAACAGAAAUCCAGCUCUGGUAACUGCUCUUGGGCUAUGUGGUUCCUGGCCCAGACAGAGGACUAGAGGACUAGCCCACAUCUGACAGUGUGGCUGUGGGGCCUGAAGCUCUGGCGAGGACACUCAGACAGAAGAAAUCAGAGAGCUACCUCCCGCAGGAAGCACAGCAGAGUUGAAGGCCAGCCCAGGGGACGUCUUGGUUCAGACUGUGUAUGUGGUCUGUGCAUGUGCAUGUAUGCAUGCAUUUUCUGUAUGUGUGUGUUGUUUGUGUUAUUGACAUGUUGUGUAUAUACACACACACAUGGUGUGCUUGUGCUAUGUGGUACAUAUAUGCAUGUUUGGUAUAUAUGAGUAUUAUAUUAUGUACAGGUACAGUGUGAUGGGAUGUAUAUUAUGUGGGUAUAUGUUUUAUGUUUAUUGUACAUGUGAAGACACGUGUGAUUCAUGUAGUGUUCCUGUGCAUGCAUGAUAUAACAUAUAUGUAUAUAUGUGUUACAUGUGAUAUGCUUUAAGUAUGUGUAUCUGUCUGUUAUAUAUUUUUGGUUUUUUGUUUCUUUUUGGUUUUUGUGUUUGGUAUUUUGAGACUGGGUUUCUCUGUGUAGCCAUGUCUGUAGUCCAGGCUGACCUUGAACUCAGAGAUCCACCUGACUCUGCCCCCCAAGUGUUGGAAUUAAAGGCAUACAUACACCAC